UUAAGCGACUAAGCGUACACGGUGGAUGCCCUGGCAGUCAGAGGCGAUGAAGGACGUGCUAAUCUGCGAUAAGCGUCGGUAAGGUGAUAUGAACCGUUAUAACCGGCGAUUUCCGAAUGGGGAAACCCAGUGUGUUUCGACACACUAUCAUUAACUGAAUCCAUAGGUUAAUGAGGCGAACCGGGGGAACUGAAACAUCUAAGUACCCCGAGGAAAAGAAAUCAACCGAGAUUCCCCCAGUAGCGGCGAGCGAACGGGGAGCAGCCCAGAGCCUGAAUCAGUGUGUGUGUUAGUGGAAGCGUCUGGAAAGGCGCGCGAUACAGGGUGACAGCCCCGUACACAAAAAUGCACAUAUUGUGAGCUCGAUGAGUAGGGCGGGACACGUGGUAUCCUGUCUGAAUAUGGGGGGACCAUCCUCCAAGGCUAAAUACUCCUGACUGACCGAUAGUGAACCAGUACCGUGAGGGAAAGGCGAAAAGAACCCCGGCGAGGGGAGUGAAAAAGAACCUGAAACCGUGUACGUACAAGCAGUGGGAGCCUCUUUUAUGGGGUGACUGCGUACCUUUUGUAUAAUGGGUCAGCGACUUAUAUUCUGUAGCAAGGUUAACCGAAUAGGGGAGCCGAAGGGAAACCGAGUCUUAACUGGGCGUUAAGUUGCAGGGUAUAGACCCGAAACCCGGUGAUCUAGCCAUGGGCAGGUUGAAGGUUGGGUAACACUAACUGGAGGACCGAACCGACUAAUGUUGAAAAAUUAGCGGAUGACUUGUGGCUGGGGGUGAAAGGCCAAUCAAACCGGGAGAUAGCUGGUUCUCCCCGAAAGCUAUUUAGGUAGCGCCUCGUGAAUUCAUCUCCGGGGGUAGAGCACUGUUUCGGCAAGGGGGUCAUCCCGACUUACCAACCCGAUGCAAACUGCGAAUACCGGAGAAUGUUAUCACGGGAGACACACGGCGGGUGCUAACGUCCGUCGUGAAGAGGGAAACAACCCAGACCGCCAGCUAAGGUCCCAAAGUCAUGGUUAAGUGGGAAACGAUGUGGGAAGGCCCAGACAGCCAGGAUGUUGGCUUAGAAGCAGCCAUCAUUUAAAGAAAGCGUAAUAGCUCACUGGUCGAGUCGGCCUGCGCGGAAGAUGUAACGGGGCUAAACCAUGCACCGAAGCUGCGGCAGCGACACUAUGUGUUGUUGGGUAGGGGAGCGUUCUGUAAGCCUGUGAAGGUGUACUGUGAGGUAUGCUGGAGGUAUCAGAAGUGCGAAUGCUGACAUAAGUAACGAUAAAGCGGGUGAAAAGCCCGCUCGCCGGAAGACCAAGGGUUCCUGUCCAACGUUAAUCGGGGCAGGGUGAGUCGACCCCUAAGGCGAGGCCGAAAGGCGUAGUCGAUGGGAAACAGGUUAAUAUUCCUGUACUUGGUGUUACUGCGAAGGGGGGACGGAGAAGGCUAUGUUGGCCGGGCGACGGUUGUCCCGGUUUAAGCGUGUAGGCUGGUUUUCCAGGCAAAUCCGGAAAAUCAAGGCUGAGGCGUGAUGACGAGGCACUACGGUGCUGAAGCAACAAAUGCCCUGCUUCCAGGAAAAGCCUCUAAGCAUCAGGUAACAUCAAAUCGUACCCCAAACCGACACAGGUGGUCAGGUAGAGAAUACCAAGGCGCUUGAGAGAACUCGGGUGAAGGAACUAGGCAAAAUGGUGCCGUAACUUCGGGAGAAGGCACGCUGAUAUGUAGGUGAAGUCCCUCGCGGAUGGAGCUGAAAUCAGUCGAAGAUACCAGCUGGCUGCAACUGUUUAUUAAAAACACAGCACUGUGCAAACACGAAAGUGGACGUAUACGGUGUGACGCCUGCCCGGUGCCGGAAGGUUAAUUGAUGGGGUUAGCGCAAGCGAAGCUCUUGAUCGAAGCCCCGGUAAACGGCGGCCGUAACUAUAACGGUCCUAAGGUAGCGAAAUUCCUUGUCGGGUAAGUUCCGACCUGCACGAAUGGCGUAAUGAUGGCCAGGCUGUCUCCACCCGAGACUCAGUGAAAUUGAACUCGCUGUGAAGAUGCAGUGUACCCGCGGCAAGACGGAAAGACCCCGUGAACCUUUACUAUAGCUUGACACUGAACAUUGAGCCUUGAUGUGUAGGAUAGGUGGGAGGCUUAGAAGUGUGGACGCCAGUCUGCAUGGAGCCGACCUUGAAAUACCACCCUUUAAUGUUUGAUGUUCUAACGUGGACCCGUGAUCCGGGUUGCGGACAGUGUCUGGUGGGUAGUUUGACUGGGGCGGUCUCCUCCUAAAGAGUAACGGAGGAGCACGAAGGUUGGCUAAUCCUGGUCGGACAUCAGGAGGUUAGUGCAAUGGCAUAAGCCAGCUUGACUGCGAGCGUGACGGCGCGAGCAGGUGCGAAAGCAGGUCAUAGUGAUCCGGUGGUUCUGAAUGGAAGGGCCAUCGCUCAACGGAUAAAAGGUACUCCGGGGAUAACAGGCUGAUACCGCCCAAGAGUUCAUAUCGACGGCGGUGUUUGGCACCUCGAUGUCGGCUCAUCACAUCCUGGGGCUGAAGUAGGUCCCAAGGGUAUGGCUGUUCGCCAUUUAAAGUGGUACGCGAGCUGGGUUUAGAACGUCGUGAGACAGUUCGGUCCCUAUCUGCCGUGGGCGCUGGAGAAUUGAGGGGGACUGCUCCUAGUACGAGAGGACCGGAGUGGACGCAUCACUGGUGUUCGGGUUGUCAUGCCAAUGGCACUGCCCGGUAGCUAAAUGCGGAAGAGAUAAGUGCUGAAAGCAUCUAAGCACGAAACUUGCCCCGAGAUGAGUUCUCCCUGACCCUUUAAGGGUCCUGAAGGAACGUUGAAGACGACGACGUUGAUAGGCCGGGUGUGUAAGCGCAGCGAUGCGUUGAGCUAACCGGUACUAAUGAACCGUGAGGCUUAACCUU
This 2901-nucleotide ribosomal RNA is filed under the name Escherichia coli. RNAcentral's name for it is "bacterial LSU rRNA". It matches the Rfam family "Bacterial large subunit ribosomal RNA". Lineage: Bacteria; Pseudomonadati; Pseudomonadota; Gammaproteobacteria; Enterobacterales; Enterobacteriaceae. The record is from RNAcentral.